This 418-nucleotide ribosomal RNA is filed under the name uncultured bacterium. Its description in RNAcentral is "bacterial SSU rRNA". It matches the Rfam family "Bacterial small subunit ribosomal RNA", at positions 29 to 447 of the family's 1533-position model. The record is from RNAcentral.
AACUAACGCUGGCGGCGUGCCUAACACAUGCAAGUCGAACGAGAAGCCCGCAAGGGUUGUAAAGUGGCGGACGGGUGCAUAACACGUGGGUAAUCUACCCUUUGGUCUGAGAUAACCUGCCGAAAGGCGGGCUAAUACCGGAUAAGACCACGGCUCUGAGGAGCUGUGGGAAAAGGCCCGCAAGGGUCGCCGAUCGAUGAGCCCGCGGCCUAUCAGGUAGUUGGUGAGGUAAUGGCNCACCAAGCCUACGACGGGUAGCUGGUCUGAGAGGACGACCAGCCACACUGGAACUGAGACACGGUCCAGACUCCUACGGGAGGCAGCAGUGGGGAAUAUUGGACAAUGGGGGAAACCCUGAUCCAGCGACGCCGCGUGUGUGAAGAAGGCCUGCGGGUUGUAAAGCACUUUAGUGGGGAUG